GACGAACGCUGGCGGCGUGCUUAACACAUGCAAGUCGAACGAUGAAGCCGGAGCUUGCUCCGGUGGAUUAGUGGCGAACGGGUGAGUAACACGUGAGCAAUCUGCCCUUGACUCUGGGAUAACUGCGGGAAACCGUAGCUAAUACCGGAUACGACACCUUGGGGCAUCCCAGGGUGUGGAAAGAAUUUCGGUCAAGGAUGAGCUCGCGGCCUAUCAGCUAGUUGGUGAGGUAAUGGCCCACCGAGGCGACGACGGGUAGCCGGCCUGAGAGGGUGACCGGCCACACUGGAACUGAGACACGGUCCAGACUCCGACGGGAGGCAGCAGUGGGGAAUAUUGCACAAUGGGCGAAGGCCUGAUGCAGCAACGCCGCGUGAGGGAUGAAGGCCUUCGGGUUGUAAACCUCUUUUAGCAGGGAAGAAGCGAAAGGGACGGUACCUGCAGAAAAAGCACCGGCUAACUACGUGCCAGCCGCCGCAGUAA
RNAcentral lists this ribosomal RNA (483 nucleotides) under uncultured bacterium. RNAcentral's name for it is "partial 16S ribosomal RNA". It matches the Rfam family "Bacterial small subunit ribosomal RNA", at positions 28 to 523 of the family's 1533-position model. The record is from RNAcentral.